GGCGCGGUGGGACAGGUGCCAGCGAUGCUCUCUGCCGGCGAGGUUGCCUCACGGCCGCCACCCCCAGCAGGGCUGCGGGGGGAAGGCAGCAGGGCCCUUCCCGUAAAGGGCGGCGGAGGGUUUGUCCCCAGGGACUUGGCGAGGACGCGGGUGCUCCGUGAGGCCUCAGCACACGCUGAGCCUCGCUCCCAGUGCGACGCGAGGCCCCUUCUCACACGGAUCACUGCCCCCAGGCUCAGCCCCGUGCUGCGCSGGCCCGGCUCACCGGAGCCUGGAGAGCAAGCGCUGUACGCUGGGCUCCUUCGCCAGGGCCAGAUCCUACCCCCAACUGGCAAGUGGAGUGGUGCAGAUAAGUCUGUACCACAUCAUGGGGAUCUUUAUGUAAACUGAGAAAAACUUCCCCAUACAAGACUGACAACACUGACUUAGCCAUCUUCUCAGCAUAACCCCCCACCCUCCCAAACCACAAACAAAUCA
RNAcentral lists this long non-coding RNA (477 nucleotides) under Dromaius novaehollandiae (emu). Its description in RNAcentral is "lncRNA (ENSDNVG00000013856.1)". Lineage: Eukaryota; Metazoa; Chordata; Aves; Casuariiformes; Dromaiidae. The record is from RNAcentral.